RNAcentral lists this ribosomal RNA (301 nucleotides) under uncultured bacterium. RNAcentral's name for it is "partial 16S ribosomal RNA". It matches the Rfam family "Bacterial small subunit ribosomal RNA", at positions 509 to 807 of the family's 1533-position model. The record is from RNAcentral.
CAGUAGCCGCGGUAAUACGUAGGUGGCAAGCGUUGUCCGGAAUUAUUGGGCGUAAAGGGCCCGCAGGCGGUUUCUUAAGUCUGAUGUGAAAGCCCCCGGCUCAACCGGGGAGGGUCAUUGGAAACUGGGAAACUUGAGUGCAGAAGAGGAGAGUGGAAUUCCACGUGUAGCGGUGAAAUGCGUAGAGAUGUGGAGGAACACCAGUGGCGAAGGCGACUCUCUGGUCUGUAACUGACGCUGAGGAGCGAAAGCGUGGGGAGCGAACAGGAUUAGAUACCCCUGUAGUCCCUGUCUCUUAUAC